Molecule: long non-coding RNA, 1735 nt
Filed under: Lactuca sativa (garden lettuce)
Lineage: Eukaryota; Viridiplantae; Streptophyta; Magnoliopsida; Asterales; Asteraceae
Description: long non-coding RNA (LSAT_LNC000491)
Source: RNAcentral
AUACAGUCGUCACGAAGCAAUGAGAAUUGAAACCAGAGUAAAUUAAAGAACACUCACUUCAAUUUACCAAUUAGUUAUAAUUAAUCUCAUAAAAGGUUGAAAUUUCUCAAACCCAUUAGUCAACCAAGCCAGUCAAGUGGAAAAAUUAAACCUUUUUAACUUUUUUCCUAAAUUUCGCAACCCAUGAAACACUUUGAUCAAAGAACAACCAUGCAGAUGCAAUGUUCAUUCUUAUAAUAAUGCUCCGUAUUGAACAUAAUUCACUGAUUGACCCUGUAAAAGCAUUUUAAACAAACAAUCUCGGUAACAAUAACAAAGAAUCUAUGUUUAGUUGAGAAAGAGUAUAACAAAUACUUUCACAAACAAUUGAUACUGAAUAUAGGUUUUGAUUAAUCCUAAUCAACUGUUACCUUCUUAUAAAAUAAAAAAAAAAAACAUGGAUGUAUACUUCUCCACAAGUAUAUCAAUCUUUAUUACUUGGCUUCUUCCUUAAACUCGUUCUGUGUUGUUUUAAAAAGAAAAAUCCCAACAAAGACCUUUUGCAAACUUACACAUAAAAUCCCAUUUUUUAAAAUUAUCUUUAUUUCAAAUAGAAACGGAUUUCUUAGCAAUGGUUGAGGUAAAAACAACAGAUUGACCUCAAUCAAGUGUACAUCAUUUCUGCCAAAUAACCGAAAAGGAAAAUAUUAAAAACCUGGUUGUAGCAUUUCAUCGAGUACUAUGAGUGCAUUGUGAAACUUGUUAUCAAAUAUCAACGUAAGUGGGCAUGCAUAACUGAAUCGUGUUGUUGGGGAGCAGUGAUUUGGUAUCUGCAAACAAUAGCAUAAAAGUAAAAACCAAUGACACUAUGAUUAAAAGAAACUCUUAAAACAUAAGUUUUUAUAUACUAUUUAUUUAGGUUCAAAAGUUUAAACUUUAUAGCCACGUUGCUUUAACUCCAACUCUAUAAUUUCUCUUGAAUCACAAGUCUAAAAUACAAAUUAAAAUUGAAACAAUUGAUCUCAUCUGGACAUAAUGAGGUUGUUUAUUAGCGUAUCUAAAAUAACCUCACAUAUUGAACAACCUCUACCACUUGAUCAAUGAAAUCUGUUUGAAAUUAAUUUCAUCAACCCCUAAACCCAAAAUAAGAAAAAGUAAAAACGUAAACAGCCAAAAAGGCAGAAAGAUGAAGGAAAAUCCGUUAUUUGUGCAUUUUGCUCCAUGAAUUGCAAAAUAUAAAUAACUUACUUAAAUGAGGGUAAAUCACAAAGAGCAUCUAAUCUAAUGUAAUACGUAUAGAACUUGAGAGGGGUGACAGUAUCAGGGUGCACUUUGCGUUUGCUUGUGGUAUAGCCAAAAAGAGGAAGCAACAGUUGGUGGCGGCUGGUUGUUUGCUGUCGGUGUCGGAGUUUGCUGAGAAAAAAAGGGGCGCGCCGGUGGAAUUACUUUGCCAUAAAAACUGGGGACCUCACCUGAGACGUCAAUUCGACGAUUUGAUGUCCAUACAUAACAACAGUGGAGGUGAGAAGAGAAGCAGAAGCGGAAUUUCUAAGACAACGGAAGAGUUGUGAAAGGCAGUUGUCGACAGAGUGAUGUAUUGAUUGACGGAUGAUUUACAGAAUUGGAAGGAGAAGGUUAAGAAUCGCCUCGAAGGGAUGCAUAAGAAAAAAAAAAGGUCGAAGCUCUAUCUGAUUGAAUACAAUGGCGGUUGGAACUUGGAAGAGAUACAAUUGAGGGUGAGUAAGCAAGAAAAAAA